Anopheles farauti is the source of this 137-nucleotide non-coding RNA. The record is from Rfam. NCBI's taxonomy places the organism in Eukaryota, Metazoa, Arthropoda, Insecta, Diptera, Culicidae.
CCUUCGAUAGCUCAGUUGGUAGAGCGGUGGACUGUAGAAAAUGUGAAAGGAGAUCAUGUAGACGAAGAAAUGCAAAUCAUGAUCACCAGAAAACAAUAGAAAUCCAUAGGUCACUGGUUCAAAUCCGGUUCGAAGGA